CAGUAGCCGCGGUAAAACGUAGGUGGCAAGCGUUGUCCGGAAUUAUUAGGCGUAAAGGGCUCGCAGGCGGUUUCUUAAGUCUGAUGUGAAAGCCCCCGGCUCAACCGGGGAGGGUCAUUGGAAACUGGGAAACUUGAGUGCAGAAGAGGAGAGUGGAAUUCCACGUGUAGCGGUGAAAUGCGUAGAGAUGUGGGGGAACACCAGUGGCGAAGGCGACUCUCUGGUCUGUAACUGACGCUGAGGAGCGAAAGCGUGGGGAGCGAACAGGAUUAGAUACCCCCGUAGUCCCUGUCUCUUAUAC
Molecule: ribosomal RNA, 301 nt
Filed under: uncultured bacterium
Lineage: Bacteria
Description: partial 16S ribosomal RNA
Rfam family: Bacterial small subunit ribosomal RNA
Source: RNAcentral